Molecule: ribosomal RNA, 768 nt
Filed under: unidentified microorganism
Description: bacterial SSU rRNA
Rfam family: Bacterial small subunit ribosomal RNA
Source: RNAcentral
UACACAUGCAAGUCGAACGAUGAUGCCCAGCUUGCUGGGCGGAUUAGUGGCGAACGGGUGAGUAAUACGUGAGUAACCUGCCCUUGACUCUGGGAUAAGCCUGGGAAACUGGGUCUAAUACUGGAUACUACCUCNUNCCGCAUGGUGGGUGGUGGAAAGGGUUUUACUGGUUUUGGAUGGGCUCACGGCCUAUCAGCUUGUUGGUGGGGUAAUGGCUCACCAAGGCGACGACGGGUAGCCGGCCUGAGAGGGUGACCGGCCACACUGGGACUGAGACACGGCCCAGACUCCUACGGGAGGCAGCAGUGGGGAAUAUUGCACAAUGGGCGGAAGCCUGAUGCAGCGACGCCGCGUGAGGGAUGACGGCCUUCGGGUUGUAAACCUCUUUCAGUAGGGAAGAAGCGAGAGUGACGGUACCUGCAGAAGAAGCGCCGGCUAACUACGUGCCAGCAGCCGCGGUAAUACGUAGGGCGCAAGCGUUGUCCGGAAUUAUUGGGCGUAAAGAGCUCGUAGGCGGUUUGUCGCGUCUGCUGUGAAAGCCCGGGGCUCAACCCCGGGUCUGCAGUGGGUACGGGCAGACUAGAGUGCAGUAGGGGAGACUGGAAUUCCUGGUGUAGCGGUGAAAUGCGCAGAUAUCAGGAGGAACACCGAUGGCGAAGGCAGGUCUCUGGGCUGUUACUGACGCUGAGGAGCGAAAGCAUGGGGAGCGAACAGGAUUAGAUACCCUGGUAGUCCAUGCCGUAAACGUUGGGCACUAGGUGUGGGGGA